Molecule: transfer RNA, 75 nt
Filed under: bacterium
Lineage: Bacteria
Description: tRNA-Trp
Rfam family: tRNA
About the family: Transfer RNA (tRNA) molecules are approximately 80 nucleotides in length.
Source: RNAcentral
GGGGGCAUAGUUUUAAUGGCAAAACGUCGGUCUCCAAAACCGAAUUUCCGGGUUCGAGUCCUGGUGCCCCCGCCA